RNAcentral lists this ribosomal RNA (253 nucleotides) under uncultured bacterium. RNAcentral's name for it is "partial 16S ribosomal RNA". It matches the Rfam family "Bacterial small subunit ribosomal RNA", at positions 524 to 776 of the family's 1533-position model. The record is from RNAcentral.
UACGUAGGGGGCAAGCGUUGUCCGGAAUCAUUGGGCGUAAAGCGCGCGUAGGCGGCCCGGUAAGUCCGCUCUGAAAGUCCAGGGCUUAACCCUGGAAAGCGGGUGGAUACUGCCGGGCUUGAAUCCGGAAGAGGCGAGUGGAAUUCCUGGUGUAGCGGUGAAAUGCGUAGAUAUCGAGAGGAACACCUGCGGCGAAGGCGGGUUGCUGGGCUGACACUGACGCUGAUGCGCGAAAGCCAGGGGAGCGAGCGGG